GAACCAGACUCCUACGGGAGGCAGCAGUGAGGAAUAUUGGUCAAUGGACGAGAGUCUGAACCAGCCAAGUAGCGUGAAGGAUGACUGCCCUAUGGGUUGUAAACUUCUUUUAUAUGGGAAUAAAACAGGGUAUGCAUACCCUCUUGUAUGUACCAUAUGAAUAAGGAUCGGCUAACUCCGUGCCAGCAGCCGCGGUAAUACGGAGGAUGCGAGCGUUAUCCGGAUUUAUUGGGUUUAAAGGGUGCGUAGGCGGGACGGUAAGCCAGCGGUAAAAAUGCGGAGCUCAACUCCGUCGAGCCGUUGAAACUGCCGUUCUUGAGUGAGCGAGAAGUAUGCGGAAUGCGUGGUGUAGCGGUGAAAUGCAUAGAUAUCACGCAGAACUCCGAUUGCGAAGGCAGCAUACCGGCGCCCGACUGACGCUGAAGCACGAAAGCGUGGGUAUCGAACAGGAUUAGAUACCCCUGUAU
Molecule: ribosomal RNA, 467 nt
Filed under: uncultured bacterium
Lineage: Bacteria
Description: bacterial SSU rRNA
Rfam family: Bacterial small subunit ribosomal RNA
Source: RNAcentral